AACGAACGCUGGCGGCAGGCUUAACACAUGCAAGUCGAGCGAGACCUUCGGGUCUAGCGGCGGACGGGUGAGUAACGCGUGGGAACGUGCCCUUCUCUACGGAAUAGCCCCGGGAAACUGGGAGUAAUACCGUAUACGCCCUUUGGGGGAAAGAUUUAUCGGAGAAGGAUCGGCCCGCGUUGGAUUAGGUAGUUGGUGGGGUAAUGGCCCACCAAGCCGACGAUCCAUAGCUGUUUUGAGAGGAUGAUCAGCCACACUGGGACUGAGACACGGCCCAGACUCCUACGGGAGGCAGCAGUGGGGAAUCUUAGACAAUGGGGGCAACCCUGAUCUAGCCAUGCCGCGUGAGUGAUGAAGGCCUUAGGGUUGUAAAGCUCUUUCAGCUGGGAAGAUAAUGACGGUACCAGCAGAAGAAGCCCCGGCUAACUCCGUG
Molecule: ribosomal RNA, 433 nt
Filed under: uncultured bacterium
Lineage: Bacteria
Description: partial 16S ribosomal RNA
Rfam family: Bacterial small subunit ribosomal RNA
Source: RNAcentral